GCUUCGAUAGCUCAACUGGUAGAGCACAGAACUGAAGCUUCUGGGGAGUGGGUUCAAGUCCUGCUCAAAGCA
RNAcentral lists this transfer RNA (72 nucleotides) under Dioszegia hungarica. It matches the Rfam family "tRNA". Rfam says of the family: Transfer RNA (tRNA) molecules are approximately 80 nucleotides in length. RNAcentral also lists the same sequence under 1 other name. Lineage: Eukaryota; Fungi; Basidiomycota; Tremellomycetes; Tremellales; Bulleribasidiaceae. The record is from Rfam by way of RNAcentral.